AGAGUUUGAUCAUGGCUCAGGAUGAACGCUAGCGGCAGGCCUAAUACAUGCAAGUCGAACGGUCAGCAAUGACAGUGGCGCACGGGUGCGUAACGCGUAUGCAACCUACCCAUCAAAGGGGGAUAGCCCGGGGAAACCCGGAUUAAUACCGCAUAAGAUAGUAUUCUGGCAUCAGAGAGCUAUUAAACAUUUAUGGUUGAUGGAUGGGCAUGCGUUAGAUUAGCUAGUUGGUGUAGUAACGGUGCACCAAGGCAAUGAUCUAUAGGGGUUCUGAGAGGAAGAUCCCCCACACUGGUACUGAGAUACGGACCAGACUCCUACGGGAGGCAGCAGUAGGGAAUAUUGGGCAAUGCUCGCAAGAGUGACCCAGCCAUGCCGCGUGCAGGAAGAAGGCCUUCUGGGUUGUAAACUGCUUUUGGAAGGGAACAAAAUGGGCAUGCGUGCCAACUUGAGUGUACCUUCAGAAUAAGCACCGGCUAACUCCGUGCCAGCAGCCGCGGUAAUACGGAGGGUGCAAGCGUUGUCCGGAUUUAUUGGGUUUAAAGGGUGCGUAGGCGGCUUAUUAAGUCAGGGGUGAAAGACUAUUGCUUAACAAUGGCAGUGCCUUUGAUACUGAUAGGCUUGAGUACAGCUGAGGCAGAUGGAACGGGUGGUGUAGCGGUGAAAUGCAUAGAUACCAUCCAGAACACCGAUUGCGAAGGCAGUCUGCUAAACUGUAACUGACGCUGAGGCACGAAAGCGUGGGGAUCGAACAGGAUUAGAUACCCCAGUAGUCC
Molecule: ribosomal RNA, 776 nt
Filed under: uncultured bacterium
Lineage: Bacteria
Description: bacterial SSU rRNA
Rfam family: Bacterial small subunit ribosomal RNA
Source: RNAcentral